This 509-nucleotide ribosomal RNA is filed under the name uncultured bacterium. RNAcentral describes it as "bacterial SSU rRNA". It matches the Rfam family "Bacterial small subunit ribosomal RNA", at positions 68 to 578 of the family's 1533-position model. The record is from RNAcentral.
GAGGUUGGCUUCGGCCAGCCUAGUGGCGGACGGGUGAGUAAUGCGUGGGAAUCUGCCUCGUAGUGGGGGAUAACGUAGGGAAACUUACGCUAAUACCGCAUACGCUCUACGGAGGAAAGGGGGGGAUCUUCGGACCUCUCGCUAUGAGAUGAGCCCACGUCUGAUUAGCUAGUUGGUGGGGUAAAGGCCUACCAAGGCGACGAUCAGUAGCCGGCCUGAGAGGGUGGACGGCCACACUGGGACUGAGACACGGCCCAGACUCCUACGGGAGGCAGCAGUGGGGAAUAUUGGACAAUGGGCGGAAGCCUGAUCCAGCAAUGCCGCGUGUGUGAAGAAGGCCUGCGGGUUGUAAAGCACUUUAAGUGGGGAAGAACGGGAUUGCGCUAAUACCAUGAUCCUUUGACGUUACCCACAGAAUAAGCACCGGCUAACUCUGUGCCAGCGGCCGCGGUAAUACGGAGGGUGCGAGCGUUAAUCGGAAUUACUGGGCGUAAAGCGCAUGUAGGCGG